UACGAAGGGGGCUAGCGUUGCUCGGAAUCACUGGGCGUAAAGCGCACGUAGGCGGAUCGUUAAGUCGGAGGUGAAAUCCUGGAGCUCAACUCCAGAACUGCCUUCGAUACUGGCGAUCUUGGAGUCCGGGAGAGGUGAGUGGAACUCCGAGUGUAGAGGUGAAAUUCGUAGAUAUUCGCAGGAACACCAGUGGCGAAGGCGGCUCACUGGUCCGAUACUGACGCUGAGGUGCGAAAGCGUGGGGAGCAAACAGG
Molecule: ribosomal RNA, 254 nt
Filed under: uncultured bacterium
Lineage: Bacteria
Description: partial 16S ribosomal RNA
Rfam family: Bacterial small subunit ribosomal RNA
Source: RNAcentral